UGUAAUGUACAAUCUAUGUUUUGCAUUGUAUCCAACAUAUUUGUUCUGUUCUGUGCGUACAUAUGUUUUGAAUGUGUGCGUAUGUGUAUGUAGGGAAAAACAGAAACUAACUAUAACUAUACGACUUCUUCGUCAUCCCUCGAA
This is a non-coding RNA of Caenorhabditis elegans, 144 nucleotides long. The record is from Ensembl. Lineage: Eukaryota; Metazoa; Nematoda; Chromadorea; Rhabditida; Rhabditidae.